This 386-nucleotide ribosomal RNA is filed under the name uncultured bacterium. Its description in RNAcentral is "bacterial SSU rRNA". It matches the Rfam family "Bacterial small subunit ribosomal RNA", at positions 355 to 759 of the family's 1533-position model. The record is from RNAcentral.
UCGGGAAUUUUGGGCAAUGGGCGAAAGCCUGACCCAGCAACGCCGCGUGAAGGAUGAAGUAUUUCGGUAUGUAAACUUCGAAAGAAUAGGAAGAAUAAAUGACGGUACAUUUAUAAGGUCCGGCUAACUACGUGCCAGCAGCCGCGGUAAUACGUAGGGACCAAGCGUUGUUCGGAUUUACUGGGCGUAAAGGGCGCGUAGGCGGCAAUUCAAGUCAUCUGUGAAAUCUCCGGGCUUAACUCGGAACGGUCAGAUGAUACUGCUUUGCUAGAGUGCAGAAGGGGCAAUCGGAAUUCUUGGUGUAGCGGUGAAAUGCGUAGAUAUCAAGAGGAACACCUGAGGUGAAGACGGGUUGCUGGGCUGACACUGACGCUGAGAUGCGAAAG